This 257-nucleotide ribosomal RNA is filed under the name uncultured Wickerhamiella. RNAcentral describes it as "partial 26S ribosomal RNA". It matches the Rfam family "Eukaryotic large subunit ribosomal RNA", at positions 208 to 470 of the family's 3401-position model. The record is from RNAcentral. Lineage: Eukaryota; Fungi; Ascomycota; Dipodascomycetes; Dipodascales; Trichomonascaceae.
GAGGGUGAUAGCCCCGUACGGUGUUGACUCGAUACAGAGUCCUAACAUGGAGUCGAGUUGUUUGGGAAUGCAGCUCAAAUGGGUGGUAUGCUCCAUCUAAGGCUAAAUAUUUGCGAGAGACCGAUAGCGAACAAGUACUGUGAAGGAAAGAUGAAAAGAACUUUGAAAAGAGAGUGAAAUAGUACGUGAAAUUGUUGAAAUGGAAGGGUAGGCCGCUAACCAUGUAGGACCGUGUUUGGGGGGAAGAUAAAUGCUGU